UUGGGGAUUUCCGCCUAAAUCCCGCCCAUUUCUGAAAUCCCGCCUACUUGCGGCGUAAGUUGCCUCCCACUCUGAACUAAGUCCCUCCCACUCGGUAGUAAGUACCUCCCACUCUGAGAUAAGUACCUUCCACUCGGAGGUCUCCAGGCUGCAGCGAUAUAUACAGAAUCAAGCGAAGGAAAUCGUAAAGGAGGAGGGGAAUUCAUACAUGCGUCAGGUUUUUCGACAAGAAACACUUCCGCAUAGGAUAUCUGUGUAUCAACUGUCCUAGCCCUUCUGGAAACUUCCUCACCUCCUCACAGUGCAACUAAAUAAAUGAUUUGUUCUUCAAGAUGGCGGACAUCGAUCGAUUUCCGGGUCACUGUCUUUGUUUUAUUCCUCAGGGAGGCUCUACCUGUUGCUUUGGUCUUCAACACCUACUUGCACCACCUGCUGGUCAGGCGGACUAGCAGCAGUCUGCAGGAAAUACAUCCAUCCCAUGUACCGCUUAUUCCACACAGGGUCAUGGGGGAGCCUGGAGCCUGUCCCAGGGACCUCUGAGCACAAGGCGGGGGACACCCUAGAUGGAGUGCCAACUAUCAAUUCACUUCAAUUUUAUUUGUAUAUCGCUUUUAACAACAGACAUUGUCGCAAAGCAGCUUUACAGAAACAUUUCAACACGGGAUACAGAUUUUAAACCUGUGAAUUUAUCCCAAUUGAGCAAGCCCAUGGUGACGGUGGUAAGGAAAAAGUCCCUAAGAUGUUAAGAGGAAGAAACCUUGAGAGGAAUCAGAUUCAGAAGGGAACCCAUCCUCAUCUGGGUAACAAUGGAUAGUAUAAAAAAUUAAAGGAAGUUCAUUAUGGUUUUAUAUGAAGUCUGUUUAACCCAUCGCAGUGCACAAUCGCGCACACAUUCACACACUACGGACAAUUUAGAGAUGACCAUCGGCCUACAACGCACGUCUCUGGAGCGGGGGAGGAAACCAGAGUACCUGGAGGAAACCCCCAAAGCACGUGAAGAACACACAAACUCCGGAUACACAGGACAGAGGUAGGAAUUGAACCCCCAACCCUGGAGGUGCCAGGCAAAAUGUUGUAACCACUAAGCCAACGUGCCCCCUGCAAGAAAUCCUUUCUAAUGAAAUCAGACACUGGUGAAGAAAAAAAAAAAAAAAAGUCUUACUGCAGCAUUAUUUUAUUGUUUUUGAAAACACUUCUCAAACAUCUGUAGGUUUCAAGUAAUGCUUUUUCACAGCUUCAUACAUAGGUAUGAGUCAGUUACAGUAAAAAAAAAAAAACCUAACAAAGUUACAGUACUGAAAAGAUGCAUUUUGUGGGUUGUGAUGUUUCAGACAUACAGGAACAUUUCUACUUGUAGAGCACUGAAUAACACACAUGUAAUAGAUUUUUCAGUAAAGACAUACACAGCUGUUUAAGAACACUGCCUCUCCAGUGUUGUAAAAUAAAAAAGUGCUUCACUUCAUUUGAGGUUAUGAAGAAACGGCAUGUCCGAUACCGUGCGUUAAAACUGAGCAUGUUGCAACACGGUUUGUGUUAUUCCAUAAUGUUAAAACUUAUCACAGGUGAAAUAAUGCUGUCACAGUCAGCACUGCUUGCAGUAUGUAUGUAUGCUGGAUGAAAUGUUAUAGUACAAGUCUAACAUGACCACACUUGAAAAUAAUGACAACACCUUUGGCAUCAGAACAUGGCACAAGACACCAAUCAUACGAAUGAUGGAAGAGACACACAAGCGUAUAUACAUACAAAAACAUGUAAAGUAUAAUUUACUCGUCUACAUAACAGCAAUCCAAAGAAACAAAUACAUCAGUGCCCUGAAGAGAGUUAAAUGAAACAGUUGUAUUUUGACAGCUCUCGGUACCUGGAUAUUCAAAGUCUUUCUGUCCAGUUAAAAAAAAAAAGUAUAUAAAAUGUAACCAUAUGAAUGUAAAUUCUGAGAUGGUCUUUGAUUUUCUCUGGUGGAUGAAAUGAGGUUGUUGCAAUAGUCUGCUCGGUUGGCUCAGGUCUCACAGAGACACACAGGUUCACAAGCAGACCUUUUUCAAGAAUUCCAGUGGUUUAGUUGUUGGGAAAUGAAUCGUCAAGUUAACCUUUAGAGGAGGUGUUCCCAAAGUCUUCUACAUAUAAUUCACCACGACAUGGUGAAGCAGACAGGAUCCAAGCAGGCCCAUCAGUGUUGUUCUUCCCCUCUUUCUCUUAAUUGGACGCAUUAUCCAAAUAUACGAACAGCUAACAUUGAAUGAAAGCUGGUAAAGCCAGUUAGCAAACUUUUAUUUGCAUAAUGUUAACUCGUCCCCAGUGAACUCUUAUUGAUUAUUAGCCAUGUAUGUUUUGGCGAUUCCUUAGAAGCACAUAGUCGAUGAUUUGUACAAGAUUUGAAAAGCUGCCAUUUGAUUGCUUCUCAGAAGACACUGAUGUUACAGUGGUACCAUUAAUCUCAAACACGACUGCUGGAGCCAACUGUUCCGUCACAAGCUGAGGAAAGCUUGUUCGUCGGCCGAGAUCUCAGAGUCUUCUCUUUCCAUCUCCAUCUCUCCACCACUGUGGGCUGCAGUGUUCUUCCUCUUCACCUGCCGGUGGGUGGAGCCACAGGGUCUCUGCAUGGGCACCAGUAGACGGAAGCCGGGUGAGGCGGGCACUGACGCUGGUGCCAGGCUGACUGGGGAGAGAUGGCAGGGCACCAGGGAGGAAGAAGAGGCAGUGGAAGGACUGCUGCUCUGGACAGAAGAGUACCCUGAGCUGUGGAGGUUGAUACGGAGAGGGCGUUUGGAGGAAAAGGAAGCGCAGGAGGCAGAAGGCUCACUCACACUGUCCUCAUCACUAGAAAGAGCACUGCAGUGCAGCAGGACAUCAGUAGACUGCACACACAGUGGUAGCUGGACUGAGAAGACAGAGACUGUGGAAACAAAAAAACAUUCUCCAUUACUCUUAACUAUUAGAAAAUCCCAACGAGCAAAGUGACUGGACAUUUGAUUUAGUUUGUGUGAUAUAUUUCUUGGUAGAAUCUAGAAAGUCCUAGAGGAUGGGUUUGUUGUAUAAUCUAUUACAACUCAAUUGUAAAAGCAGAUCACAACAUCGCUUCAGUAGCACAAUAACUAUUCUCACACACACUUAACAGGCAAGUUGGUUUAAAAUGUUUUAUUGAUGUGUUUCAAGUCCAUAAUGUAUGCUGUGUUUCCUCUGAAUAAAAAUAAAUAAAUAAAUAAAUAAAUACAUACAUAAUUUAAAAAAAAAACAAAACAUAAAUAACACAUGGUAAAAAGGAUAGCUGUAACACAUUCAUUUAGGGCUGGAUGAUGACAAAAAUAUCACGAUACUUGAGGACAUUUCUACGAUACACAAUGCGCAUCAUGGUAUAUAUAAUUUAGCUAAAACUGCAUAAACAAUAAACGCUUAACUGAGGUUGACAAUACUUUUGUUUAAUGCCUACAAUGACAAAGAUCAUUAAGUUUUUUCCAUUCUGUAUCAUUUCAUUUGUAACUUUUAUAAAUAUUUUUUAAAAAUGUUUAAAGCAUCACCAUCCAACAAUAUCUCAGAAAAGUGUAUCACAAAAUUAUUGAUCAUGAACCCUAAUUUCAUUCACAAAAAAAACCCUCCACUAAACUUACAGUUCUGUUGUCUACUCUUUUGUGCUAUUUGUACUUCUAUAUUUGGACAAUAUGUACUUCGUAUUUCUACUUUUAGUUUCUCCUCCAGUGGCAUUUUGGUAUAUAUAUAUAAAAAAAAAGGACGACAGAGGAAAUAAUCCACCUCGUUCACUUUCAUUACACCUGCAACUGUAUUUCUUCCCAAUCACUGCUGAUGUAGCGUUAAAGAUGUGUCAGCAAAGUGGGCUGAAAAUAUAUCGGCUCAAAUUGAGAUCAAAUCUAUGUGGCUUUCCACUCCGGGUAAAUGUCUGGCAUGGCCGUCAGAGCUGGGCUAUACGUGUAUAUAGUCUGAGAUACAUAGAAUUCAGCCCCAGCUUUGCGUCUUCAUAUAAUUCUGUGUAUAUAUUUCUUAUGAUCUUUGGUGGCGCUGUUGCAAAAGCGUCAAACAACCCACCUUAAGACGUUUGUUAGCAACAGAUAAUCUGAUGAUUGCAAAAGUGAAAAGCGCUGUAUUGAGGGUUUUUAAAAUCUCUGAAAAGGGGACGUAACAAUGCUAACCCAUUUAUUCCUGCUGCUCCUGCCUGUACAGUAGAAUCGAUAAAAUCCUUAGCAGCAUGGCUUAAAAUGCAUACAAUAAUGCUUAAAAUGUAUAUAAUAAAGUAUGGUACUGUAACAAGACCCCAUUUAUUUACUCACCUUCACACUCUUUCUCUCCAUCACUGUCCUGAUCUCCCUCAUAGCCUGAGCAGGAAGCAUCAAGGCUCCAGUCUAGGAUGUCACCCACAAGGGUUUCCUCUUGAUUGGAUAGCUCAGCUGUGGGAGUGGCCACAAAGCUGCCUCGAUGGAUUUGGGCCAAGACGCAUCACGUGACAUCAACGAAACACAUUCAGGUAAAGCCCUCUUCGAUUGAUGUGGAUCGAACACGAGUACAGCUACAAGCUCUCAUUUACCAACAAAUGUCACUGAGGAAGACUGUGCAAAACUAUUUCAUGCAAGUGUCAUUUCGCCAAGUCAAAUUUUACACAAAAAACGCCCAAAAACAACAACAACAAAAAAAACAGCGAAAAUCUGCACGGGCUGUCUAAAGGCAAGGUAGAAUUUGUUUGGUCUUCUGUGUAUUGCUGCUAAUAAGGACACCAUGCCUGCAGGCCUGCCAGCUUUCAAUUCAUUCUGCUGCUUUAAAUGUGAAAAUGAAAGGCCACGGAAAAAAUUAUUCACAGCUAACAAACAAUAAAAU
This is a long non-coding RNA of Ictalurus punctatus (channel catfish), 4821 nucleotides long. RefSeq lists it as uncharacterized. The record is from RefSeq and is a predicted model, not a curated record. The transcript has 3 exons. NCBI's taxonomy places the organism in Eukaryota, Metazoa, Chordata, Actinopteri, Siluriformes, Ictaluridae.